UUUAAAUGUAAAUAAAAAUUCUAAAUUAUUAUUAGUUAUAUUCUUUAAAGUUAAAGAUUUUGGCGGUAUUUUAGUCUUUUCAGAGGAACCUGUUCUAUAAUUGAUAACCCACGAUUAAUUUUACUUAUUUUAAUUAGUUUGUAUAUCAUCGUAGUUUGAAUAUUUUAUAAGAAUUUAAAUAUUCAAAAUUUUUAAUAAUAAAAAAAAUCAGAUCAAGGUGCAGUUUAUAAAUAAGUAGUAAUGGGUUACAAUAAUAUUAAUUAUGUUGGUGUAAAAUUUGAUAAAUUUUACUAAAUUGGAUUUGAAAGUAAUAAAAUUAAUUUAAAUUUUAUGAUUUAAGCUCUAAAAUAUGC
Molecule: ribosomal RNA, 353 nt
Filed under: Brathinus nitidus
Lineage: Eukaryota; Metazoa; Arthropoda; Insecta; Coleoptera; Staphylinidae
Also listed under: 1 other name
Description: partial 12S ribosomal RNA
Source: RNAcentral